UACGGAGGUGGCAAGCGUUGUUCGGAAUUACUGGGCGUAAAGGGCGCGUAGGCGGCAUGGCAAGUCAGAUGUGAAAGCCCCAGGCUUAACCUGGGAAUUGCAUCUGAAACUGCUUUGCUUGAGUCCUGGAGGGGGUAGUGGAAUUCCCAGUGUAGCGGUGAAAUGCGUAGAUAUUGGGAGGAACACCUGCGGCGAAGGCGGCUACCUGGACAGUGACUGACGCUGAGGCGCGAAAGCUAGGGGAGCGAACAGG
RNAcentral lists this ribosomal RNA (253 nucleotides) under uncultured Acidobacteriota bacterium. RNAcentral's name for it is "uncultured Acidobacteria bacterium partial 16S ribosomal RNA". It matches the Rfam family "Bacterial small subunit ribosomal RNA", at positions 524 to 776 of the family's 1533-position model. The record is from RNAcentral. Lineage: Bacteria; Pseudomonadati; Acidobacteriota.